RNAcentral lists this ribosomal RNA (253 nucleotides) under uncultured bacterium. RNAcentral's name for it is "partial 16S ribosomal RNA". It matches the Rfam family "Bacterial small subunit ribosomal RNA", at positions 524 to 776 of the family's 1533-position model. The record is from RNAcentral.
UACAGAGGGUGCGAGCGUUAAUCGGAAUUACUGGGCGUAAAGCGUGCGUAGACGGUAGCGUAAGUCAGAUGUGAAAGCCCCGGGCUCAACCUGGGAAUUGCAUUUGAGACUGCUCUGCUCGGGUGCGGAAGAGGGAAGCGGAAUUUCCGGUGUAGCGGUGAAAUGCAUUGAGAUCGGAAAGAACACCAACGGCGAAAGCACUCUGCUGGGCCGACACUGACACUGAGAGACGAAAGCUAGGGGAGCAAAUGGG